GAUAGAAAUAACCUCAGAGAAUUGAGCAUUGAGUUAAAGAAUUUUGCUAGUGUGAUCAAAAGGCUUAUAUUUCACAAGGUGAAUGAUUGAAACUCGAAACAUCUUCGCAAUUGAUUCAGCUUUCCUUUGACUAUGCCUGUAUAGAUGCACUCAUUGAUAAAGAAGUCUUCAAGUUCACGCACACUGGAAACCUCAAGCUCCUCCAAAAGUGCAUCAUAGGGGAGAUCCUUGUUUGACUCGGCAACAGUGAGCACAGUAAGUUGUUUAAGCUUCAGAAGUUGAUCAGGUAUCAACUGAGGCAGAGUGCCAGAAUUACUUUUAUAAUCGCG
RNAcentral lists this unclassified non-coding RNA (329 nucleotides) under Hevea brasiliensis (rubber tree). The record is from RNAcentral. Lineage: Eukaryota; Viridiplantae; Streptophyta; Magnoliopsida; Malpighiales; Euphorbiaceae.